AAACUAGCUGAACAGGAGGAAGAUCUUGAUAGUGUAAAGGAGGAGAGUAGAAAACGCAGGCAAGCUAUUCUUGAAAAAUAUAGGAAUCAGCAAUCACAGCAGAAAAAUGAGGCUCAAUCAGAGGAUGCUGAAAAAGAUGUUGAACCUGCACAACUUCGUGUCCAAUCUUUGCCAGCUUCUAAUUUUGUUCCAGAAACUCUUGAUACUAGGAUUGAUGGUGAUAUCUAUGUUGCCGAGCCAUCAUUUUCUGUGGGCGAGUCGCCUCCACAAAAUGGAACACGGGCAUCUGAGAGGACUUCUGGUGCUGUGGGUCUUGGAGAGGGUACUCCUAAGAGCGAGAGGUCAGAUGAAAAAUAUUGUGAUGACAUAUUUGGCGAGACACCAACUGGAGUUCAUAAAUCGGGCAAAGGAGAUGGUUUACCAAUUAUGCGGAAUGGUCUUCAUGACAACUGGGAUGACUCUGAUGGGUAUUAUGGCUACCGAUUUGGUGAAAUACUUGAUGGUCGGUAUGAAAUUGUGGCUGCUCAUGGAAAAGGUGUCUUUUCCACAGUAAUUCGUGCGAAGGAUUUAAAGGCUGGUGUUGGUGAACCUGAAGAAGUGGCUAUAAAAAUCAUUCGUA
Molecule: unclassified non-coding RNA, 619 nt
Filed under: Hevea brasiliensis (rubber tree)
Lineage: Eukaryota; Viridiplantae; Streptophyta; Magnoliopsida; Malpighiales; Euphorbiaceae
Source: RNAcentral